GCCCAAGUAGCACAAUGGUAGUGCGUUGCUUUCCUAUCCAUCUGUUUAGCGUGAAUGUGAAGGCAAAGGUUGUGGGUUCGAUCCCCAUCUUGGGUU
Non-coding RNA from Paramarasmius palmivorus, 96 nucleotides. The record is from the annotation of a GenBank genome assembly. NCBI's taxonomy places the organism in Eukaryota, Fungi, Basidiomycota, Agaricomycetes, Agaricales, Marasmiaceae.